Molecule: ribosomal RNA, 253 nt
Filed under: uncultured bacterium
Lineage: Bacteria
Description: partial 16S ribosomal RNA
Rfam family: Bacterial small subunit ribosomal RNA
Source: RNAcentral
UACAGGGGGGGCAAGCGUUGUUCGGAAUUACUGGGCGUAAAGGGCUCGUAGGCGGCCAACUAAGUCACACGUGAAAUCCCUCAGCUUAACUGGGGAACUGCGUGUGAUACUGGAUGGCUUGGAUUUGGGAGAGGGAUGCGGAAUUCCAGGUGUAGCGGUGAAAUGCGUAGAUAUCUGGAGGAACACCGGUGGCGAAGGCGGCAUCCUGGACCAAUAUUGACGCUGAGGAGCGAAAGCCAGGGGAGCAAACGGG